Cavia porcellus (domestic guinea pig) is the source of this 514-nucleotide long non-coding RNA. RefSeq lists it as uncharacterized. The record is from RefSeq and is a predicted model, not a curated record. Lineage: Eukaryota; Metazoa; Chordata; Mammalia; Rodentia; Caviidae. The transcript is spliced from 3 exons.
UGGGAGUGUGGCCAGGAAGGGCUUAUUUCCCUCCCUCCUCCGUGGUCACUCGGCUUCCUGCCACCACGCCACGAGCCUUGCCUCCUGGCCUUGCCUCUGCCAUGCUGCUUUGCCUCAGAGCCGGCUGACUGCGCGCUGAAAUCUACCGACUGCCAGCCAACAGGAAGGGCUCCUCCUUUCAGCUGUGGGUGUCCCAGAGGCAACAAGAAGUGUUGAAGAUGGAAAAAGGCAGAGGAGAAAAGGAGAGAAAUUAAUGCCCUUUACCGCAACAUUGGGAAGAAAUGAUAGGACAAAUGAGGCGAAGUGGGCCAGGCUCCUGUGUCCUCAGCUCCAAGGCCCUGUCCACCAGAGGAGCAAAAUGGCAGGCCUCUGCCCCCGUCAGGCCACAUUUAUGGAAGUUUCCCUGAAAAUAUGAUAUGCCCAGGCAGUGGUAGACACUGUCAGGCGGAGACCCCGGUGGGAAGAGGAAGCCAGAGAGGCCCCGGCUCUUACCUUCAGCAGCUUCAUCAGCCCC